Molecule: long non-coding RNA, 999 nt
Filed under: Polistes fuscatus (common paper wasp)
Lineage: Eukaryota; Metazoa; Arthropoda; Insecta; Hymenoptera; Vespidae
Description: uncharacterized LOC122524843
Source: RNAcentral
GAAAAAAAUAUUCAAUUUAAAUGAUCGCGCAUCGAGAAAUUUCAAAAACAAAAAAAUACGAUGCGGGUUUCCCGUUCACACGAUGAUUUAAUUGGACGAAAAAAAUUCACAGAUCUGACGCACACGUUCACGCGCAUAUUAUACCUAGAUUACAGAAAUGCAUACACACGGAAAAACGUAUUUCCAGUGGAAAAAGUUGAAAGAUUGAAAAAGGAGAUAGGGUGGUAUCUAGCCGUCGGUGAUUUCACUUUGCAAUUAGCAUUGGUUUUACCUUGAUAUGCGAAAAAAAAGGGAGUAAAAAAAGAAAGGUGGAGAAGGAGGAGGAGGAGGAGGUGGCUUGUUGGUGAGCGCCGGUAGUUGAGCGUCAUCAGGCAUUCAUUUGCAACUAAUGACGAACCGGUAACAUUCCUGGAGUAUCAGUAAAACUGACAUCUACAAGACACAUAUGAACUAGUAGGAGAGACACGUUCUUCUGACUUGAUAGAUAAAUGGCUGGUACGAAGUAACGAGCUGCAAUAGCAGCAGCAGCAGCAGCAGAAUCAACAGUAGAUGCAGUUUCUGACGAUUCGAGAACUGUGAAACUAACUCGCCGAUUUAACCGACGCGCAUCUACCAACUUUUCGACUUUUCUUCUUUUUUUUUUUCUUUUCGAAUAACCGAGCUAACUUUCACGUCACUCACUGUCACCAAAUCUAAUCCCUACAAUUCUUCUAACUUUUUAGGCCUAUUCAUUUUAUCAAAUUUAGAAAAUGAUUUGAUCGUUAAAAUGGGAAUAUCGAUCGGUAUAAAAAUUAGCCAAGAUCGUGGAAUAGCACGAUCUCGAAAGUUUUUCUAAUAAAGUUGACAAGAAAACGAGUUGAAGCGGCAAUAUUUUCACCUUUGCACCGAAAGUUAAGUACAAUGGUACUUCUCGAUUCGAGGUCUUUGUGUCGAAGGAUCGAAGAUAUGGAACGGGGAUCGAAGAAUAGAAUAAAAUAGAAAGAGACACAGAGAAACAGA